RNAcentral lists this long non-coding RNA (1002 nucleotides) under Parus major (Great Tit). Its description in RNAcentral is "lncRNA (ENSPMJG00000016463.1)". The record is from RNAcentral. Lineage: Eukaryota; Metazoa; Chordata; Aves; Passeriformes; Paridae.
AUUGGGUAAUCUGGGUAAAUACAGCAACAAAAUAUUUAUAUUGUACGUUUACAUAACCCUGCAAUAUCCUCAGAAGAGUUCUUUGCCUGUUCUUUCACAUGCUGCAGUGGUGGCACACGCCUGCUGCUGGUGCCACCCUGUCCCUGUGCUCCAGCCAGGGCUCGCUGCCAGCACUCACCUGCAUCUCCCAGCCCAGGCCAUGGCGAGCCAGGCUGUGGAAACAGAGCAGCCUCCCCUUCCUGCCAUUCCAUCAUCAUCAUCAUCAUCACCAUCGUCAUCAUCAUCGUCAUCAUCAUCGUCAUCAUCAUCAUCACCAUCAUCAUCAUCAUCACCAUCAUCACCAUCAUCAUCACCAUCAUCAUCACCAUCAUCAUCACCAUCGUCAUAAUCAUCAUCAUCAUCAUCACCAUCAUCAUCAUCAUCACCANCAUCAUCAUCACCAUCAUCAUCACCAUCAUCAUCACCAUCGUCAUAAUCAUCAUCAUCAUCAUCACCAUCAUCAUCAUCAUCACCAUCAUCAUCAUCAUCACCAUCAUCACCAUCAUCAUCACCAUCAUCAUCACCAUCGCCAUAAUCAUCAUCAUCAUCAUCAUCAUCAUCACCAUCAUCAUCAUCACCAUCGUCAUCAUCAUCAUCGUCAUCAUCAUCACCAUCGUCAUCAUCAUCAUCAUCAUCAUCAUCACCAUCACCAUCAUCAUCACCACCAUCACCAUCAUCAUCACCAUCAGCAUCAUCAUCACCACCAUCACCAUCAUCAUCACCAUCAUCAUCAUCAUCAUCACCAUCAUCAUCACCAUUGUCAUCAUCAUUGUCAUCAUCAUCAUCAUCAUCAACACCAUUGUCAUCAUCAUCAUCAUCAUCAUCAUCACCAUCACCUCCCUGUUCUCUUCCACGAUCCCCAGGGAACCUCUCUGCCGGCCGGGGAAGCAGGCUGGGAAAAGAACUGAAAUUGCCCUUCUGGCUCGGUGCCGCUGGGUGUUGUCCUGAGCGAGGGCAACGCUG